UUCUUCAGAGUAUCUGGUAUGAUGCUAUGUUUUGGUUCUAGAAGAGAAACAAUGUUGAUAAUGCUUAUGUUUAUAGUUGUUGCUAAGCAGUGUUGUACAGAGCCAAGGUCUAUGCAGUGAAGGGCCCAAGGAGCUGGGAUGGAAUCGGGUUAGCUGACUUAAACUGGCCGAAGUGAUAUUCCAUACUAUAUAACAUCAUGUGGAAGGAGAGUUCUGAAGGGGAUCUGGUAGAAUUUGAACCUGAGGCUCACACUGCAGCAAUACAGCAAUACCGAACAGUGGAAAUAAAGUAAAUCACAGAGGAUAACAUCAUCAAAGAAGUUGCUGCUUGCAGAGUGAAGUGCCCUCCUAUAAGAAGCUAGAGAAAAUGGAUGUGUACCAGCAUCUUUACUUAAAGGAAUGGGGAAACUUACUCUCCAUGGACAUCAAAUUCCAGGAGAAACUUCAUUACAAAAGUGUACAUUUAUUAUAUUGUGUGCUGGCUCUAUAUCUAAGCUGCACACAAUUAGGCAGUAAUUAACUGACUACUCGACAGAUCCUAUUCUCCUUUUUUCUAAGCAGAGCCUGGAAAUGGGAAGAGAUUAAUCUUUUACCACUAAGUUAUAAAAGAAAAUUUUCUUAAUUUGAUCUUGAGAUUGAUUUCUUCUAAAACUGGUAUUUUGAAAAGAGCCUCCAUCCACUAGCUGGAAGAAAUUUGCAGAAAUGAAUCUGAUCAUAUUCAGGGCUCAAACCUCAGAUGGUUUGUACAUGCUGGCAAUCCUUGUAGUGUUGGUUUGAUUAUAUGCAGAGGCAAGACUGGAAGGGCUGGGUUGUAGCUGAGAAAGCAGUGUGCUCCUUGAGGCAGAGGACAUGAAGUACUGAAAGAUAGCUUAAUGAUAGUGCACAUUGAAAAUCUUAAGGUCU
Non-coding RNA from Meleagris gallopavo (turkey), 903 nucleotides. Lineage: Eukaryota; Metazoa; Chordata; Aves; Galliformes; Phasianidae. The record is from RefSeq and is a predicted model, not a curated record.